Molecule: microRNA precursor, 162 nt
Filed under: Pelobates cultripes (western spadefoot toad)
Lineage: Eukaryota; Metazoa; Chordata; Amphibia; Anura; Pelobatidae
Source: RNAcentral
CAGCAGACACAUUCCAGCCAAUCAGCAGCAGACCCUCCCUCCCAGACCCCCCUACCUCCUGGACAGCAUCCAUUUUGAAGCUGCAUUCUUAGUGAGCUGUCCAGGAGGUGGGAGGGUCUGGGAGGGAGGGUCUGCUGCUGAUUGGCUGGAAUGUGUCUGCUG